AGCUAUACCAUGUUGAAGAACUGGUUUUCACCCGAUCUCUGCAGUUAAGUAACAUUGAGCCUGGUCAGUGCCUAGAUGGGUAACCGCUUGGGAAUACCAGGUACUGUAAG
This is a non-coding RNA of Acanthosepion pharaonis, 110 nucleotides long. Lineage: Eukaryota; Metazoa; Mollusca; Cephalopoda; Sepiida; Sepiidae. The record is from the annotation of a GenBank genome assembly.